AUUUCCGGCGCGGAGGGAGGAUUGAAGUUCCAUUUAUUCACUACUGGCGCCUUGGAAAUUAGUCCCAUUAUCUGAGAAGAUUUCUGUCGGAGGACCUCUGCUGCUAACGAAUCUCCUGAUGGCCAUUAUGCAUGAUUCUGUUGAAAGGCUGUGGGCGACUUCAAGAUGGACCGCCCUCGUUGCUAAGCAUGUGAGGACGACCACGUACCUCUUCUCAUUUAGUCGGGCAUUAGUCACAUCGAUUGGGCCCAAAUAGUCGACUCCCACAUUUGUGAACGGACACAGGAGUGGGCGUCUACAGGAUUUCAUAGCCCUAUCCACGGCUGCUCUCAAAAACGGAAUGUAGAACCGCUGCCGGACUUCGUUACCUACUGUCUCCCUAUUGGCGUGUGCAUGCCGCUCAUGGUAGUGUCCUAGGAGUAACGACGUUAUGGUAUGUUGUGUAGGUAAAAUCACCGGAAAUUUUGCAUCAUAUGG
Long non-coding RNA from Anopheles arabiensis, 477 nucleotides. RefSeq lists it as uncharacterized. NCBI's taxonomy places the organism in Eukaryota, Metazoa, Arthropoda, Insecta, Diptera, Culicidae. The transcript has 3 exons. The record is from RefSeq and is a predicted model, not a curated record.